UACGUAGGGUGCAAGCGUGUCCGGAAUUAUUGGGCGUAAAGAGCUCGUAGGUGGCCUGUCGCGUCGGCUGUGAAAACUCGGGGCUCAACUCCGAGCUUGCAGUCGAUACGGGCAGGCUAGAGUUCGGCAGGGGAGACUGGAAUUCCUGGUGUAGCGGUGAAAUGCGCAGAUAUCAGGAGGAACACCGGUGGCGAAGGCGGGUCUCUGGGCCGAUACUGACACUGAGGAGCGAAAGCGUGGGGAGCGAACAGG
Molecule: ribosomal RNA, 252 nt
Filed under: uncultured bacterium
Lineage: Bacteria
Description: partial 16S ribosomal RNA
Rfam family: Bacterial small subunit ribosomal RNA
Source: RNAcentral